Apis florea (little honeybee) is the source of this 454-nucleotide long non-coding RNA. The record is from RefSeq and is a predicted model, not a curated record. Lineage: Eukaryota; Metazoa; Arthropoda; Insecta; Hymenoptera; Apidae.
CAUAGCAAUGAAAAGAGCAAUUAUCCGGGAAUACCAAUGCAGGACAAUUAAAAAUUAUAGCCUUUGCUCGUUUCAUUUUCAAAUUCGGUCGGCGUAAAUAACGGUUAAUUUGCCUUCUGAUGUAUGCGGUUUUAAGUGGGGGACGAUCGAAGAGGGCUUUUACCACGGUCUGAAACAGUUGGUCGCUAUAUAGUUCCGGUACUUGGUUGUCGGACUUUGAAAUUAGAAGUAUAAUCUUUUAACGCCGUUGGCACGCAACGCGGGAGACUUAUCCCCUGACAAAAGUUGAACGGAGAGCGUUACAUAAUUACAAUCUUUAUGCCUGUUUCAACAGAGGACGGGGAUUUAUACAGGGGAAUAUAUUUCGAGUAUAUAUUCGUAGAAAAAUUUCUCGAACGUUAAUGGUUCGCGUUGAUGAAUAUUCGUGGCCACGAAAAAAUUUACGUUCCAAUUA